UGAUCCUACGGGGGGCAGCAGUGGGGAAUCUUCCGCAAUGGGCGCAAGCCUGACGAAGCAAUGCCGCGUGAACGAAGAAGGUCUUCGGAUUGUAAAGUUCUGUCCUUAUCGAAGAGAGGGUAUAGAGUGAAAAAUGAUAUACUAGGACGGUAGAUGAGGAGGAAGCCCCGGCUAACUACGUGCCAGCAGCCGCGGUAAUACGUAGGGGGCGAGCGUUGUCCGGAAUCACUGGGCGUAAAGAGUGCGUAGGCGGGGUAAUAAGUCAGAUGUGAAAUCCUGUAGCUUAACUACAGAAAUGCAUUUGA
Molecule: ribosomal RNA, 305 nt
Filed under: uncultured bacterium
Lineage: Bacteria
Description: bacterial SSU rRNA
Rfam family: Bacterial small subunit ribosomal RNA
Source: RNAcentral